Molecule: ribosomal RNA, 487 nt
Filed under: uncultured bacterium
Lineage: Bacteria
Description: bacterial SSU rRNA
Rfam family: Archaeal small subunit ribosomal RNA
Source: RNAcentral
GGAUAACCUGCCCUGCGGUGGGAAAUAACCCCGGGAAACUGGGGAUAAUGUCCCAUAGGCUACGGAUACUGGAAUGUUCUGUAGUCAAAAGAUUUAUCGCCACAGGAUGGGUCUGCGGCCGAUUAGGUAGUUGUUGGGGUAAAGGCCCAACAAGCCUUUGAUCGGUACGGGUUGUGGGAGCAAGAGCCCGGAGAUGGAUUCUGAGACACGAAUCCAGGCCCUACGGGGCGCAGCAGGCGCGAAAACUUUACAAUGCGGGAAACCGUGAUAAGGGAACUCCGAGUGUCCGUAAAUUCGGACUGUCCGUAUGUUUAAAAAGCAUACGAAGAAAGGGCCGGGCAAGACCGGUGCCAGCCGCCGCGGUAAUACCGGCGGCUCGAGUGGUGGCCACUAUUACUGGGCUUAAAGCGUUCGUAGCUUGGUUGUUAAGUCUCUUGGGAAAUCUAUCGGCUUAACCGAUAGGCGUCCAGGGGAUACUGGCAAUCUA